This 213-nucleotide unclassified non-coding RNA is filed under the name plant metagenome. RNAcentral's name for it is "partial contains small subunit ribosomal RNA, internal transcribed spacer 1, and 5.8S ribosomal RNA". The record is from RNAcentral.
UUUCCGUAGGUGAACCUGCGGAAGGAUCAUUCUUAAUAAGUGUUUUAUGGCACUUUUUUAAAUCCAUAUCCACCUUGUGUGCAAUGUCAGGGUUGAUUUUUCUCUCGAGAGGAUCAACCCCAAACAUCAACUAUAUCUCAACUCUUUGUCUGAAAAAUAUUAUGAAUAAAACAAUUCAAAAUACAACUUUCAACAACGGAUCUCUUGGCUCUC